Molecule: ribosomal RNA, 253 nt
Filed under: uncultured bacterium
Lineage: Bacteria
Description: partial 16S ribosomal RNA
Rfam family: Bacterial small subunit ribosomal RNA
Source: RNAcentral
UACGUAGGGUGCGAGCGUUAAUCGGAAUUACUGGGCGUAAAGCGUGCGCAGGCGGUUAUGCAAGACAGGUGUGAAAUCCCCGGGCUCAACCUGGGAACUGCAUUUGUGACUGCAUGGCUGGAGUGCGGCAGAGGGGGAUGGAAUUCCGCGUGUAGCAGUGAAAUGCGUAGAUAUGCGGAGGAACACCGAUGGCGAAGGCAAUCCCCUGGGCCUGCACUGACGCUCAUGCACGAAAGCGUGGGGAGCAAACAGG